Molecule: non-coding RNA, 30 nt
Filed under: Mus musculus (house mouse)
Lineage: Eukaryota; Metazoa; Chordata; Mammalia; Rodentia; Muridae
Source: RNAcentral
UAAAACAGGAGUGUGCUGUUUAGUGUCUAU